GGAGGCGUAUGGGUACCUGGUGGUCCCCCGGUCUUCAAAACCGGUGAGGCCGGGUAUCUCGGCCUGGCGGGUUCGAUUCCCGUCCGCCUCCGCCA
This 95-nucleotide transfer RNA is filed under the name Raineyella fluvialis. RNAcentral describes it as "tRNA-Sec". It matches the Rfam family "Selenocysteine transfer RNA". Lineage: Bacteria; Bacillati; Actinomycetota; Actinomycetes; Propionibacteriales; Propionibacteriaceae. The record is from RNAcentral.